Molecule: long non-coding RNA, 817 nt
Organism: Talpa occidentalis (Iberian mole)
Lineage: Eukaryota; Metazoa; Chordata; Mammalia; Eulipotyphla; Talpidae
Exons: 5
Source: RefSeq, a predicted model, not a curated record
CUUGAAAAUAUUCUCCCUUAAAGGUGUAAUUCAAGUCUAAUCAGGGGAGGAUUUUAGAAAAAAAAAUCUGUAAAAUACUCUUCAAUUGUCACAGACAUGAAAAAUAAGAAAAGACUGAACAUCACAUACCUCUAACGAUGACUAAGUAUGAUAUUGUAUCCUGAAAUCUUAGAACAUAAGGAAAAACUGGGGUCAGUAAAUAUAUUGCUUAAUGUCAUAUCAAUGUACAAUGCAACAUACCAAAACUAAUUUAUUCAGUUUUGAAAGAUAUGCCACAGAUGACAAGUUCCUUCUUGGAAACUGACAUUGAAAUGCAGAACCUGCAAAUUCAGCCAUUUAUCAUUCCAAGUCACUAUAAGUCUUCGUGUCUGAAUUGCAGGAUUGUUGCCUCUUACUAAGUUACACAUGUGUCAUCUUUCUCCCAGAAUAAUCAGCCUAUGAUUGCAUAUAAUCAACUUGGAUCAUGUGCAAAAAUGUACAGUUUUAUCUCACCCUCUAAUGACUUACUUUAAACUUAGCCAUCAUUCCAAAUGUUCCUUUGGCUUUGUAACAUCAAGAAACGACCUUUGAAAAGAAUCAUGAAGAUAGAUGAAAAGCUACAGAAAGAUUAGUAAUUUGAAAGAGCUCCAAGUUAUUUGCUUUCCCAAAGGAGAGAAUUGUGCACCUGCUGAGAUGGGAAAAGGGAAGGAUGGAAUUCGAGCUGGAAAAGUUAUUCAAGAUCAAAAUUCAACCACAGCUUUAUAGAGGAAAGAAGCUAACAAGUGAAAAGCUGCAGGAAAGGCUGGUGAGCAGAACACAGAUUAGUCAUACUUCACAA